UACAGAGGUCCCAAGCGUUGUUCGGAUUCACUGGGCGUAAAGGGUGCGUAGGCGGUCGGGUAAGUCUGAUGUGAAAUCUCACAGCUUAACUGUGAAACUGCAUUGGAUACUAUCCGGCUCGAGGAAUGGAGGGGAGACUGGAAUACUUGGUGUAGCAGUGAAAUGCGUAGAUAUCGGGAGGAACACCGGUGGCGAAGGCGGGUCUCUGGGCCGAUAUUGACGCUGAGGAGCGAAAGCGUGGGGAGCGAACAGG
RNAcentral lists this ribosomal RNA (253 nucleotides) under uncultured bacterium. RNAcentral's name for it is "partial 16S ribosomal RNA". It matches the Rfam family "Bacterial small subunit ribosomal RNA", at positions 524 to 776 of the family's 1533-position model. The record is from RNAcentral.